This is a long non-coding RNA of Aethina tumida (small hive beetle), 328 nucleotides long. RefSeq lists it as uncharacterized. The transcript is spliced from 3 exons. The record is from RefSeq and is a predicted model, not a curated record. NCBI's taxonomy places the organism in Eukaryota, Metazoa, Arthropoda, Insecta, Coleoptera, Nitidulidae.
AUGUUACAGGGCACUCAGUGCACAAUACAUUACACAAAACAUUUUAAAAUUUAACAAUUUCAAAGGAAGGAAAACAUAAAAAAGCAGACGAUUAUACUAGAUUUUCACAGGUAUUGUAUUUGGACCCCAACAGUCACCGAAUUGUUGAGAGUCCUGUUUUGAAGUAUAAACCCUGCCUCCUUCACUCUACUCCAUAUUGGGAAACCAUAACUAAAAGGACUGUGAACAUUUGGCAAGUAGGCGGUUUUUAGAACUUUCAUCGAUCACUGAAUCUUUUCAAACAACACACAAUUUUAUAUGUUGUCUACAGUCCAUGUGAAUUCGUAUA